GCAUUAAGUUCGAUCAUUAUAAACUCAUAUUUAUGCAGCUAUAAGAGAGGGAACUUAUCCACCGACGAUUGCAUUUGAGAGCUACUAAAACACAUCCUAGUAGACCUUGUCCCCAGAUAUGCCUCUUCAGCUCGCCUCAGAUACGAUAUUAAGAAUGUUUAGGGCUCGGAUCCAUCAUCAUCGUCAAGGACAAAUCAUGCACAAUUUAUCCCAUGCUAUUGAUGUGGACACACGGCUAGCAAGAAUGGAGGAAAGAUCACGACACGUACAGAUAAAUGAUGAUAGCCUAUGUGAUUCUUGCCAUGCUCGCCUUGGAACUAAAUUGUUUGCUAUGUACCCAGAUGAUACUGUCGUCUGUUACAAGUGUUUCCGUCGUCAGGUUGAGUCCACUUCUGUUACUGGCCAUGACUUCAGGCGAGAUAUCUUAUUCAAACCAGGUUGGCUCGUGACCAGAUAGGCCAUAGAUACUCAUGGAAGUUGAGAUUAUAACAUGUAUCCAUGCCACUUCCUGCAAUCCUGUCCGCGCAGUAACUAUUGAUGUUCAUCUUCUACUCCAACUGAGAAUGAGCAUGUCUUGAAUGUAAUUGUCGUGCAGUUUUGGUUUAGGCUUGUUUCUCAACCAGGUGAGUGUGUGUAAUAUUUUCUGAUUAUGCCAGUGACAGGUAGAGCCAUUUUAAGAUUUUACAAGAAAUUUUCCUAAUAAUUAUAUCUGAUAUGUAAAAAU
Molecule: RNA transcript, 724 nt
Organism: Tripterygium wilfordii
Lineage: Eukaryota; Viridiplantae; Streptophyta; Magnoliopsida; Celastrales; Celastraceae
Gene name: vacuolar sorting protein 3-like
Exons: 4
Source: RefSeq, a predicted model, not a curated record